Molecule: ribosomal RNA, 1023 nt
Filed under: Psittacara euops (Cuban parakeet)
Lineage: Eukaryota; Metazoa; Chordata; Aves; Psittaciformes; Psittacidae
Description: partial 16S ribosomal RNA
Rfam family: Bacterial large subunit ribosomal RNA
Source: RNAcentral
AGCCACCCCCAAAGAUUGCGUCAAAGCUCCAUCGACUAAAACACCAAAGACUAACACGACUCCCUGCACCUAUAGUAGGCCAACCUAUAACAAUAGAUGAAUCAAUACUAGAACGAGUAACCCGGACACCAUGUCCCCCCAAGCGCCAGCCUAAACGCCAUUAACAGCACAAACCCCAAUAACAACCACACCACACCCCCAACCAUUGAACACACCCUGUUAAUCCAACUCAGGGGCGCACAUUGGAGUGAUCAAAGUCUACAAAAGGAACUCGGCAAACCCAAGACCCGACUGUUUACCAAAAACAUAGCCUUCAGCCAAACAAGUAUUGAAGGUGAUGCCUGCCCAGUGACACCAUGUUUAACGGCCGCGGUAUCCUAACCGUGCAAAGGUAGCGCAAUCAAUUGUCCCAUAAAUCGAGACCUGUAUGAAUGGCUAAACGAGGUCUUAACUGUCUCCUGUAGACAAUCGGUGAAACUGAUCUCUCUGUACAAAAGCAGAGAUAAGCACAUAAGACGAGAAGACCCUGUGGAACUUCAAAAUCAACAGCCACCUCACCCUAUCCACAAACCCAUACGGGUCCACCACCCAAGACACUGGCUGACAUUUUUAGGUUGGGGCGACCUUGGAGAAAAACAAACCCUCCAAAAACAAGGCCAAACUCCUUAACUAAGAGCAACCCCUCAACGUACUAAUAGUACCCAGACCCAGUAAAUCUGACCAAUGAACCAAGCUACCCCAGGGAUAACAGCGCAAUCUCCUCCAAGAGCCCCUAUCGACGAGGAGGUUUACGACCUCGAUGUUGGAUCAGGACAUCCUAGUGGUGCAGCCGCUACUAAGGGUUCGUUUGUUCAACGAUUAACAGUCCUACGUGAUCUGAGUUCAGACCGGAGCAAUCCAGGUCGGUUUCUAUCUAUGACCAACCUUUCCCAGUACGAAAGGACCGGAAAGGUGGGGCCAAUACUCCAAGCAUGCCCCCUCCCCCAAGUGAUGUCCUCCACUAAAUCACCAAAGGACCUCCCU